RNAcentral lists this ribosomal RNA (326 nucleotides) under uncultured eukaryote. RNAcentral describes it as "partial 18S ribosomal RNA". It matches the Rfam family "Eukaryotic small subunit ribosomal RNA", at positions 1470 to 1796 of the family's 1831-position model. The record is from RNAcentral.
CCCUUAGAUGUUCUGGGCUGCACGCGCGCUACACUGAUGCGCUCAACGAGUUUACGACCUUGCCCGGAAGGGUUGGGUAAUCUUUUUAAAACGCAUCGUGAUGGGGAUAGAUUAUUGCAAUUAUUAAUCUUUAACGAGGAAUUCCUAGUAAGCGCGAGUCAUCAGCUCGUGCUGAUUACGUCCCUGCCCUUUGUACACACCGCCCGUCGCUCCUACCGAUCGAGUGAUCCGGUGAAUAAUUCGGACUGCAGCAGUGUUCAGUUCCUGAACGUUGCAGCGGAAAGUUUAGUGAACCUUAUCACUUAGAGGAAGGAGAAGUCGUAACA